This is a long non-coding RNA of Panonychus citri (citrus red mite), 3582 nucleotides long. RefSeq lists it as uncharacterized. The transcript is spliced from 3 exons. Lineage: Eukaryota; Metazoa; Arthropoda; Arachnida; Trombidiformes; Tetranychidae. The record is from RefSeq and is a predicted model, not a curated record.
CAUUUGUGAUAUUUAGUUGAUUGUUUGUUUCUUGAAUAACUAUUAUUACCUAACUAAGGUUGUCAAUUGUUGAUAAUUAAAUUAACAUCAGGUAAACUAAUGGUUUCAAGUGUGUGUACUUAUCUUUUUGUUUCCCUUACCUUGGUAAGAAGAUGAUGGAAGAAAAAAAAAAUGGAAGCGACAUUUUCAUGGCUCACUGAUUGGUUAUGUUUUCUUUUUCUUCAUUUCUUCUCUCAUUUCUCUUAUGCUUUUUUUCUGAUAUUCUUUUUACUUUUCUUCUCUAGUGCAAUGUGAACAGCCAGGAUGACGAUGAUGAUGAUGAUGAUGAUGAUGAUGAGGGUAUUAAUGACAAUAACAACACUUGGAUAUUCCGACAAUUAUACUACCGCCGAUGAGAAAUAUCAAUGAUGAUGAAGAGGAGGAGGAAAAAGAUGAGAGUAAAGAUACUAAGUGAAACAAGAAAGACGAAAACUCAUAUAAUAUAAAGUGGAUAUAAUAUGAAGUUUUUAACAAUAAAAUGGUUUUACUCAAUGAAGCAAAGCUAAAAACAGUAAACUUUUUACAACUAAAGAAGGAGAAAAGCAUGAUGAUGGUUUACAAACGGUUGAUGGUAAAAUAAAAAUGGUUACAAAUAUAAAAAUUGGUAAGAAAAAAAUAGACCAACACAUAAAUAUCUAUACUUUCGGAAGAAACCAAAAGAAAAAGGAAAAGGAAAGAGUAACAUGGAAUCAAGGAAAGAGAAUCAUGAUCACCAUCACCAACCAAAGGAGGAGAAUCAAUGGAAUAUAAGGAACAAGGAUAAAAAAAGCUUCUUUCCAAUGUAAAUCCAAUGUGGUUAAAGACAAGGAAAGGAUGAAGAUAGAAAAAGAGACAAGAGAGAAAAAGAUAAAAUUGGAAACAAAAGAGAACCAACAAAAUGAUAAUGAUGUUCAUCAUCAUCAUCAUCAACAUAAAAGAUAGAAAGAUCUUCCAGAAGAUAAUUUAUCAAUUGGUAUUAAAUAAUAUUCUCGAUCCGAUUUGGUGAAAUGUUGAGUCUUCAUGCUGGUUUUGUGAUUCUAGGAGAUUGUUAGAGGACAAGAACAUGGAAAAAAUUGUAAACCAUAUCAACGUUUACCUGACAUUUAACUACAUCAACAUCAACAUCAUCAACAACAACAACAAUGAAACAAGAGCGUAACAAACAAUAAUAUAAAUUGAUGUUGUUACUGUUUUCUUGUUAUUAUUAUUGUUGUUAUCUUGUUUCAACUGAUGCAACUGUGAUUACCAGUUAGUCUAUAAGAUGACGAGAGGAGGAGGAUGAUGAUAAGGGAUGAGGAUGAAGAUUCUGAGAAAGAAAAAAAACCAAAAGGUAAGAUGAAAUUUAAAGGUACAGAAUGAAAACAAAGACAUUGAUAUCAAAGAUACUUUCACUAUUUCCUGAGAGAAUAACUAAUAUACCUUUUAAUUUACUAUUUAAACAGGUAAGACAAGAUGACAAUGAAGUUAUUUCUUGUAGAACAUUUCGAGACAGAGAAGUUCGAAAGAAAAAGAAAAAGAAAAAAUGAAAAAAAUAAAGAAUCGAGGACAAACUGAAUGUUAUUCAAUGUGAAGUCACUUGAAAAUAUGUUUACCUUGGAUUAAAUAGAGUCAAUCACUUUUUCGUUGACCAACCAAAAGCCAAUAGCAAAUAAGAACAACAAAUAACAAACAAGUUAUUUUCUUAUCAAAAAGAAAAGAAAAUCGAAAAAAGGAAAUUCGAAAUUCGAAAGAGAGAGAGAGAGAGAGAGAGAGAGAAAGAGAGACGAAAGAGAACUCACUGGUUCUUUGAUACUCUUGACACUCUCUUUUCAUCUUCAUCUCUCUCAUCUCUUAAAGCCAUUUAAAUUAGAUGGACCAGAAUCAUUGAGGAAAAUGUUGAUAAUAUGAUUGAAAGAAAGAAAGAAAAAUUCUAUCUCACCUUCAAUUGCAUCUCUUUGUCAAUAGUUUCAAUGUGAUUUUCUCUCUGUGUAUAAGUUGUUGAAGAAAAGUGCACAAACCGUUGAAUCUAUUUUCAAUUAUCCACUUGACACACAGUGAGAUCGAGAGAGAAAGAGAGAGAACAAGAAGAUAAAAAGAAGAUGAAAAUAAAAGCAAAGUGAACAAACUUAUUUCAUCUUCUUUUUUUACUUGACCAUCUUCAUCUUCAUCUGAUGCUUAUUUCCCAUCAUCUUCUUACCUUUACCACCUUAUUCAAUAUCCUUUGAGAAUCUCUGUCUUUCUCCUCUGUCUCUCUUCUGGUUACCUCUAAUUUGGAUUGAGGUCAAUCCAAAAUGAUUCCAGAGGUUUGCCACAAACUCAAUGACAGCAUUUGCUGUCUCUCUCUCUCUCUCUCUCUCUCUCUCUCUCUCUCUCUCUCUCUCUCUCUCUCUCUCUCUCUCUCUCUCUCUCUCUCAUUCGCAUCCUCAUCUUCCCAUUUUCCUUAUUUUCUGCUCCAUCCAAUCAUCAUCAUCAUUUUAACCUUCACUUAUCUUGACUUCUUUUUCCUCUCUUUCUUUUUCUCUCCAUCCAACCACCACCUCCACCACCUCCACCACCAUCACUACCACCAACAUCAUCAUCAUCUUCAUCUUAUUUCUUUCCUCUUUCUUUGGGCUUCUUCAUCAUCUUACCUUCUCUGCUUAUGCUCACUUUGAUUCUCAAUUCUUUCUUACAAUUCCUUGGACAUUUAAGUGGACCAAAUAUUAAAGGUAAUGGUUCCUAACUUUUUUUAUUGUUGUUAUUGCUUCUCAACUACUAUUGCUAUUAUUACCAUUGGAUAUGCAGUUAGUGUGUCGUAAGUGUGUAGUCUAUGUGUAGAUCUAAACUCUCAUACACGGUUGAUGUUUUCAUGCCCAUUCAAUUGCUGUUGUGUUUUUGCUGCUCUUUUCACUUACGAUGGUGACAUCAACAGUAACUUGAGACAAGUUACUUUACUUUGGCUUCAUCUUCAAUAAAUGUCAACUUUUAUUUCACUUUUUCCUCCACCUCACUCACUUUAUCUCUCUCUCUCUCUCUCUCUCUCUCUCUCUCUCUCUCUCUCUCUCUCUCUCUCUUUCUCUUGGCGGUGUUGAUGUUUCUAUGAAAAAAUAGAAAUAAUAGUUUCCUUGCUUAGGCUUUGCUUGGAUUGCUUAUAUUUCCUCUUCCUUCUUGUCCUUUUCUCUCUCUUUCUCUCUCUCUCUCUCUGUUAUUGUCCAGUCUCUUGAAUGGUGUGUUGUUGUUGAUAUUUCCACCUCCCACCUUCCUCCUUCUCUAUGGUUCACCUAAUCUAUUGAACCUUAUUUUUAUUUCUAUUUUAUCUUAAGGCUCUUUUUAAAUGGUUCACUCUUUUGGCUUAUCUUUGCUCGGGCAACCAAGUUUAACAAUUGACAUAGACUCACAUAUUACACUCGAGGGAGAGAGUGGGAGGUUAAAGGUAAAGGUUAAGAAAUUGUCAGGAUAGAUUAGGAGGAGAAUAAGGAUGCGGAGGUGGAGGAGGUGAUGGAGAUGGAAAAGCAGGAAGUAGAAAAAGAUGAUGAGAGGAACAUCUUUUAUUUUGACAUCUCUCUCUCUCUCUCUCUCUCUCUCUCUCUCUCUCUCUCUCUCUCU